UGACAGAGCGAGACUCCAUCUCCAAAACAAAGCAAAACAAAAUAAACAAAAAAAAACAAAAACCCUUUGGAAUCAGGCACACCUAGGUCGCGGCUGUGACUUGAGCUCUUUGUGGCUGGGUGCACUGGAGCCAAUUAUGUAACUUCGCUGAGACUUCAUGCUGUCAUCUGUAAAGUGAGUAGAGUGGUGCCGGGAAUGUUAAAGCAGGUAAGGGACAGAUGUAACAUUUUGCGCACAGGGACUGGCUCAUGGUUGGUUCAAUAUUUUUGUCAUAAUUUCCAGUCAGCAGCAGGAGGAUAAAGAAGGGGUAAGCGGAUAAGAGGUACUGCUAUGUUUGAAAUGAGUAAUCUCUGAGGAGCUUUUUGGCUAGUUCCUGCCGCUAACCCUGGCAAAAGGCAGGUUUGGAGGGUGGUAGUGGGGAGGGAAGGUACAAAGGGUAUCUCUUCUGUAUUUGGUCACCAAAUAAUGGCUCAGCAUCUAGAACAAGGCACAGGGUUCUAGCUUCGGUACUAGAAAGAGCCAAUAAUACUCAUGACAGUAAUGAUAACAGUAAUAAUAACCAACACUUACCGGCUGUUUAACUGCUGGUAGUAAUUAAGGUAACACUAGCUAAUGUGAUAGUGAAACCCUGAAUCCUCAGAGGCUUAGCACAAUGGAAGUUUAUUUCUCAUUCAUGAAAAGUCCUGCUGGGUGUUUCGCCGGUGGCUUUCUAUGUGGUGACCCAGAGACCCAGAUCCCUUCUGUCUUGUGGUUCCAGCAUCCCCUAGGACCUUGGAAUUAUUUCCUUCUAGCUGAUGGAGCAGGAAGGAGAGAAAUAAUUUUAUGGGCCAAGCCUAACGUGGCACGCUUUCUUUCUGUCUGAAUUCUGUGGACCAGAAGUUGACCACGUGGCCGUAUCUGACUGGAAAGGAGUCUGGGAAAUGGCUUUCAGCCAUAUUCCUAAGAGAAUCGGAAAUGCUUUGUGGUGAGCACAUUGCAGCUUCUGCCACACCAUAUCCAGGCAUAUAGCUUAGCACGGGGUAUUUUAUUUGAUGCUCAUGCUAGAGACAGGCACCAUUAUUAUCCCAUUUUGCAGAUGAGGAAACUGAGGCUCAGGGAAGUGAAGACUCUGGCGCAGGGUCUGUGAGCCAAGAUUGGAGUCCAGGUGGCCAGAUGCUGAAGCUGUUAGCAUCCAGAUUUCUAAGGGGAAUUCAGUCUUUUUUUUUUUUUUUUUGGAGAAUUGGGUGGAAGUAGUGGACACAUACAACAUACACAGGGUUCAGAUGUGACUUCCUGGGACCCACAGAACCCAGCAGGACUCUGCAGGAGAACUUUGGGGAUGGAGCCAAGGGUGGGUGUCACCUGGUGCCAGGGGCUGAUAUCCUGUCCCCUUCCCCCAACCCUUAGGGCCGUGGUCAGGAGAAGGCACAGAACAAUUCAGUUCAGUCCCCCAAGGACAUCUGGGGCCCCCUCUGCUGAGCUGGGUGUGCAGGGCUGGACAUGCUGGCCCAGGGGUAUUUGUAUUUGUGGCUUCCCCCUGCUCUGAUAGGCAGGUGUGCAGCCUGUAGUGGGGAUUUUUGGAGUCUGCCUAGAGGGUAGAAGAGUGGGCAUCCCUGUGGUUUGUAGUGGCAGCUCUCUGCUGCUGGCCGGUUUAGUUUAGUUUUUUUUUUUUUUUUU
Molecule: long non-coding RNA, 1656 nt
Filed under: Macaca fascicularis (crab-eating macaque)
Lineage: Eukaryota; Metazoa; Chordata; Mammalia; Primates; Cercopithecidae
Description: lncRNA (ENSMFAG00000048595.1)
Source: RNAcentral